This 56-nucleotide transfer RNA is filed under the name Lepidochelys olivacea (Pacific ridley). Its description in RNAcentral is "partial tRNA-Thr". The record is from RNAcentral. Lineage: Eukaryota; Metazoa; Chordata; Testudines; Cheloniidae.
AAACCAAAGAUUGAAAACCACAAAUUUCCUAGAAUAAUCAAAAGAGAAGGAAUCAA